CAGGAAGCUAGCCCAAGGGAAGAAUUACUGCCGGUGAUUAGCCCAAGUGGAACUCGCCGGGGCACGGGGACCAGGCAAAGGUCAACAACCGACAGCACGGCUCUUCGAAGGCGAUGCCCCCGGCAGAAGAGGCACGCGGGAGGCCAACGCGGGCUGCUGGAAAGAGCUGAGGGGAGAACGGCCUCCGGACGCUGCCUUCGCCUGCCACCGGAGGGCACGAGCCUGGGCCUGAGGACGGCCCGGGACAGGCACUUGAGAAGCGCACGCGGCAGAGGCUGGGCAGGCCCCGGUGCUCCCCCGUCGCUCCCCCGCAGGGCGCGUCGCAGCCGCCGGCUCUGCAGCGUUCCCGGCCGGCAGCUCCGCUCCUGCCCCGGGGCGCACGGCGCCCGCCCGAGCGGCUCCCCGGGGGAGGCGGCUCCGCGGCCCCGCACGGAGCCGCCCGUUGCGCCGGGCUCGCCGCUCGCCAGCCCGGUCCGCGUGCUGCCGGCCGCCCGCCGCCCCGGGAGGGGCUCGGGGACCGCGGCACGCCCCGGGCGGCGCAGGGCCGGCGGCCGCGAGCACCGCCCCCCGGGCCGAGGCGGGCAGCCCCCCUCCGGCUGCGGCCGCCGGGCCCGCCCCGCCCCGCGGCCCGCCCCGCCCGGCGCGGAGCCUGGGCCCGGCGCGGAGCCUUACCGGGGACCGCCCGGCGGCACGGCAGGGCCCGGCCGGCCCCGCAGCCCUCGGCCGCUCGGCGGGGCCGGGCCGCACCUCCCCACGCGCGGGGGCGCUGCGGCGCGGCCCGCACCGGGCGGGGAGGCCGCGCUCCUGCCGGUUAACGGUCCGCGGCCGGGCCGGGCCCCGCGCUGCCCCCCCGCCCCGCCCCGCCCCGCCCCGCCGGCCGCCCGCAGCGGGAGCCGAUCCCGCGCCGCUCCGUACCGAGCCGCCCCGCCCCGCCCGGCGCUCACCUGCCGCCACUGCCGCCGGGCCCGGCCCCGCCCCCGCCACGUGCCGUGCGCGCCCCCGCCCCGCGCGCUGACGUCAACGCGGUGCCCGCGGGGCCGCGCACGUCGCAGGGCCCCGCCCCGCCCCGCCCCGCAGAGCCGCAGCCGCUCUCGCCCCGCGCCGCCUUUAUUGAGCCCGUCACAGCCCGGCCGCGCCGCGCCGCGCCCCGCCCGGAGGGCUCCGGGCCCCCCGGGGCAGCCUCGCCCCCCGCCCCCGGUCCCGUCGCCGGCUGUGGGUCGCGGCAGCCCGUCCCAAAGCCGCCCGUCCGUCCCGCUGCGCCCGCCUCUCGCGGCAGCGGUGCCCGCAGAAGGUACCGACGGGAACCGCACCCGGAGCAGCUCCCAGGCGGUGCGGCAGGGCCAGCCUUGA
This 1350-nucleotide long non-coding RNA is filed under the name Anser brachyrhynchus (Pink-footed goose). RNAcentral's name for it is "lncRNA (ENSABRG00000002080.1)". Lineage: Eukaryota; Metazoa; Chordata; Aves; Anseriformes; Anatidae. The record is from RNAcentral.